CUCAAACUGUGGAACACCUAGUACCCACCCAGACUUCACAGAAUCCCAGUCCACAAAGGAAAAAGGAACUUUGACUGUUCACCUGGUCAGACUUGGGAAUUCCCAGCCCAAACUUCAGGUGGAGCCUGGCUUUUACAGACUUUUUAGGAUGCUUCGGAUGGUCUGAAGAUGGGGAGAAGAUGGCCUUUUUUCAUGUGGAGGAUAUUACGGAGAUGUUUCUUUCAUAAUAGCAUCAUCCUUCAAUCUAAAAUUUGAAUUCUACUUACAUGAACUGAUGCAGAAUAAAAUGAGCAGAAGCAGGAGAUCAUUGUACACAGCAACAACAAGAUUAUACAGUAACCAAUUCUGAUGGACGUGGCUCUUCUCAACAAUGAGGUGAUUCAGGCCAGUUCCAAUGAUCUAGUGAUGAAGAGAGCCAUCUGCACCCAGGGAGAGAACUGUGAGAACUGAGUGUGGACCACAACAUAGCAUUCUCAUUCUUUCUGACGUUUGUUCGCAGCUUAUUUUGCUUCUCUUUUUCUUAUUUUUACUGGUUUGAUUUGAUUUUUCUUGUGUAGCCCGAUAAUUGUAUAAAUAUGUAUGCAUAUAUUGGAUUUAAUGUGUAUUUCUACCAAGUUUAACAUAUAUUGGACUCCUUGACAGCUAGGAGAGGGC
This 654-nucleotide long non-coding RNA is filed under the name Sarcophilus harrisii (Tasmanian devil). RNAcentral describes it as "lncRNA (ENSSHAG00000030726.1)". Lineage: Eukaryota; Metazoa; Chordata; Mammalia; Dasyuromorphia; Dasyuridae. The record is from RNAcentral.